Molecule: ribosomal RNA, 253 nt
Filed under: uncultured bacterium
Lineage: Bacteria
Description: partial 16S ribosomal RNA
Rfam family: Bacterial small subunit ribosomal RNA
Source: RNAcentral
UACAGAGGGUGCAAGCGUUAAUCGGAAUUACUGGGCGUAAAGCGUGCGUAGCCGGUUACAUAAGUCAGAUGUGAAAGCCCCGGGCUCAACCUGGGAAUUGCAUUUGAGACUGCGUAGCUAGGGUGCGGAAGAGGGAAGCGGAAUUUCCGGUGUAGCGGUGAAAUGCGUAGAUAUCGGAAGGAACACCAGUGGCGAAAGCGGCUUCCUGGUCCAGCACCGACGUUCAGGCACGAAAGCGUGGGGAGCAGACAGG